Molecule: ribosomal RNA, 1159 nt
Filed under: Sporobolomyces pararoseus
Lineage: Eukaryota; Fungi; Basidiomycota; Microbotryomycetes; Sporidiobolales; Sporidiobolaceae
Description: eukaryotic LSU rRNA
Rfam family: Eukaryotic large subunit ribosomal RNA (bases 541-1159)
Source: RNAcentral
GUUCGUAGUGACUGCGGAGGAUCAUUAUUGAAAACAAGGGUGUCCAAUUUAACUUGGAACCCAAACUUCUCAAUUCUAACUUUGUGCAUCUGUAUUAAUGGCGAGCAACUUCGGUUGUGAGCCUUCACUUACAAAACACUAGUCUAUGAAUGUAAAAUUUUUAUAACAAAUAAAAACUUUCAACAACGGAUCUCUUGGCUCUCGCAUCGAUGAAGAACGCAGCGAAAUGCGAUACGUAAUGUGAAUUGCAGAAUUCAGUGAAUCAUCGAAUCUUUGAACGCAUCUUGCGCUCUCUGGUAUUCCGGAGAGCAUGUCUGUUUGAGUGUCAUGAAUUCUUCAACCCAAUCUUUUCUUGUAAUCGAUUGGUGUUUGGAUUCUGAGCGCUGCUGGCUUUAUUGCUCAGCUCGUUCGUAAUACAUUAGCAUCCCUAAUACAAGUUUGGAUUGACUUGGCGUAAUAGACUAUUCGCUAAGGAUUCGGUGGAAACAUCGAGCCAACUUCAUUAAGGAAGCUCCUAAUUUAAAAGUCUACCUUUUGAUUAGAUCUCAAAUCAGGCAGGAUUACCCGCUGAACUUAAGCAUAUCAAUAAGCGGAGGAAAAGAAACUAACAAGGAUUCCCCUAGUAGCGGCGAGCGAAGCGGGAAAAGCUCAAAUUUGUAAUCUGGCGUCUUCGACGUCCGAGUUGUAAUCUCGAGAAGUGUUUUCCGUGAUAGACCGCAUACAAGUCUCUUGGAACAGAGCGUCAUAGUGGUGAGAACCCAGUACACGAUGCGGAUGCCUAUUACUUUGUGAUACACUUUCGAAGAGUCGAGUUGUUUGGGAAUGCAGCUCAAAUUGGGUGGUAAAUUCCAUCUAAAGCUAAAUAUUGGCGAGAGACCGAUAGCGAACAAGUACCGUGAGGGAAAGAUGAAAAGCACUUUGGAAAGAGAGUUAACAGUACGUGAAAUUGUUGGAAGGGAAACACAUGCAGUGAUACUUGCUAUUCGGGGCAACUCGAUUGGCAGGCCCGCAUCAGUUUUUCGGGGCGGAAAAGCAUAGAGAGAAGGUAGCAGUUUCGGCUGUGUUAUAGCUCUUUAUUGGAUUCGCCCUGGGGGGACUGAAGGAACGCAACGUGGCUUUUUGCAUGAACCUUCGGCUUAUCCACCGCUUAAGGAUGCGG